This 229-nucleotide ribosomal RNA is filed under the name Hemiselmis virescens. RNAcentral's name for it is "partial Eukaryotic small subunit ribosomal RNA". It matches the Rfam family "Eukaryotic small subunit ribosomal RNA", at positions 14 to 275 of the family's 1831-position model. Lineage: Eukaryota; Cryptophyceae; Cryptomonadales; Hemiselmidaceae. The record is from RNAcentral.
CUGCCAGUAGUCAUAUGCUUGUCUUAAGGAUUAAGCCAUGCAUGUCUCAGUAUAAACGAUUUUAUACGGUGAAACUGCGAAUGGCUCAUUACAACAGUUAUAGUUUAUUUGAUCGUGCGGUACUACGUGGAUAACCGUAGGAAUUCUAGAGCUAAUACAUGCCCCUUCGCUUUCAAAAUUUUUUUUUUUUUAAAAAAAAAAAAAUUUUGAAAGCGAAGGGGCAUGUAUU